GCGGAGGGAUCAUUACCGAGUUAUACAACUCAUCAACCCUGUGAACAUACCUAAAACGUUGCUUCGGCGGGAACAGACGGCCCCGUAACACGGGCCGCCCCCGCCAGAGGACCCCCUAACUCUGUUUCUAUUAUGUUUCUUCUGAGUAAAACAAGCAAAUAAAUUAAAACUUUCAACAACGGAUCUCUUGGCUCUGGCAUCGAUGAAGAACGCAGCGAAAUGCGAUAAGUAAUGUGAAUUGCAGAAUUCAGUGAAUCAUCGAAUCUUUGAACGCACAUUGCGCCCGCCAGUAUUCUGGCGGGCAUGCCUGUUCGAGCGUCAUUACAACCCUCAGGCCCCCGGGCCUGGCGUUGGGGAUCGGCGAGGCGCCCCCUGCGGGCACACGCCGUCCCCCAAAUACAGUGGCGGUCCCGCCGCAGCUUCCAUUGCGUAGUAGCUAACACCUCGCAACUGGAGAGCGGCGCGGCCACGCCGUAAAACCCCCAACUUCUGAAUGUUGACCUCGAAUCAGGUAGGAAUACCCGCUGAACUUAAGCAUAUCA
Molecule: unclassified non-coding RNA, 542 nt
Filed under: Fusarium solani
Lineage: Eukaryota; Fungi; Ascomycota; Sordariomycetes; Hypocreales; Nectriaceae
Description: sequence contains ITS1, 5.8S rRNA gene, ITS2
Rfam family: 5.8S ribosomal RNA (bases 168-321)
Source: RNAcentral